CAAAAAUCAGAAAUACGAUAAAACAAAUUUUUGCGCUAUAUCACAAGGUUUGCGUUUUGAACGCAAGCAAACAAACUAAGUUCAAUUUAUGUAUGUUCAAGAAAUAUGUGCAAUAUUUCAUAAGUGUGAUAAUUGUUUAACCAAUGCCUUCACCUUAGAGAUUUAAUGAUAAGGUGAAUUUAUUCACUAUUAUUUUUUUUCGCAUCAAUAAAAAAUUCAAGCUGGUCAACAAUGGUCAAGAAGUAAUAACUUUUGAUCUAUUGAAUUACAUACAUGUGUAUCUCGUAUUGUAGGGUAAUGUUUAUCUAACUUGGCAGGGGUAAAUUUAUUUGUGUUCAAUAAUUAUGUGCAAUAUUUCAUAUUUAUAUACCUAUAUGGAUUUAUUUUCGUCAGAACGAUAAGUGAUUCUUUCGAAGAAUCAACCAGGACGAUACCAUAUUUCAAUGAAGUAUGCUCCAAUGCAUUACAUAAUGGCCUAUGUGAGAUCAUUAUUUUCCUUGAUUAAAAUGCA
This 511-nucleotide long non-coding RNA is filed under the name Mytilus galloprovincialis (Mediterranean mussel). The record is from RNAcentral. Lineage: Eukaryota; Metazoa; Mollusca; Bivalvia; Mytilida; Mytilidae.